CAUCCCAACCCCUUGGAUAUGGAGGGAGAGGGAAAAGCUGCCAACACAGACAAGCAGGAGCAGCCUCAGGAAUGUGGGAUAUUCUCCAGCCCUCCUCAUUGUCCAGGUGUAAACCUGAGAGAUCCUGUGCAGAAGCAGCCUCAGGAAUUUGGGAUAUUCUCCAGCCUUCACUGCCUGAUAGCCCUGACUCUACCAGGUGUAAUCCUGAGAGAUCCUGUGCAGGAGAAGCCUUCUUCCCCAGCCCCCUGGGCAGAGGAUGGAUGUGCUGAGGGACCCCUUGGUGGCAUCUGGAGUGGCCCAGACAGGGGAACCCCUUAAGGCUGGAAGCUCCGUUGUGCAAGUGUGUCUGGAUUCCACCCCUGUGAAUCCAGCUUUCCUUAUUGGAUGGAUGGACGGAUGGAUGGAUGGAUGGAUGGAUGGAUGGAUGGAUGGAUGGAUGGUUGGAUGGAUGGUUGGAUGGAUGGAUGGAUGGAUGGAUGGAUGGAUGGAUGGAUGGAUGGAUGGAUGGAUGGAUGGAUGGAUGGGGGAUGGAUGGAUGGAUGGAUGGAUGGAUGGAUGGAUGGAAGGACGGACAGACAGAUGGACAUAUUGGCAACUUAGCUGGUGACCUGCCCCCCUUUCCUGAGCGCUCCAGGAGAAAAUGUCUUCAGGCACAUUUUUGGGACACAGGAGCAGUCAUAAGCUCCUGGUGAAAAUCCAUGCUGGUCCACAUUAUGUGUGAAAAACCCAAAGAGAUGCUCUGGAUCUCAUCCCACCUGCUCUGGUGCACCUAGGGAGGGAUGAUCCCAGCAGAACCCCAGGUUCCAGAGCAGGACACUGAGAACCAGCUCCGGUGCAGAGCGAGAAGGGAAAUGUGAGCCUGUGGAAGAGCAGAUGGGAAAUGUGACCCUGGGGGACACCGAAAACGAAGAGGGAACUGCGUGGUCUUGUGGCUUUCAGCUUGAUUCCACGCACAAGGGGAUCUUAAAGUGCACCAUCCUCAUUGCUGAGGAGCUCUGGAGCUUCUGGGCAGUGUCCCCAGCCCUGGCAGAGGAGCUGGAGCCUCACUGGCACGGGGCGCCCACAAGCUGUGUGAAAAUAGGUGACUCGCUGGAAGAGAAAAAGCUAAAAAUAUCCUGACUGAGGCAAGAAUUCAUCACUCACUCACUCACUCACUCUCUCAGCUCUUAUUAUGCAUCACAGAGAGCUGCUGCACAAAGAGAUGCCCGGGCAUGAAUCACUCCCCGUGAGAUAUCCAAGAAUCCAGCCAGAGGUGGAACCCAAAUGGACCCAGAAUGCCCAGACAGGAACACAAAUGGACCCAGACCCCAAAUGUUCUGACCAGCAGCUCCUGUUCAUGCUCCUGUGAUCAUCCAGGAGACACUCUGGCCUUUUGGGAAAGAUAUCCAGGGGUAUCUGAAAGACAUGUAUUCAAAAAGGCUGAAGGGGAGCAGUGACCAAAGCCCAGGCACCACCCUCAGCCUAAAAGUUCAGGGGAAAGGGGUUUUGAGGAUGCAUAAAAUAGAAGAGAGAGGGGUCAGCAUCACAAGCCCAUGUCUCCUCCUGCAUGGGCUCCCAC
Junco hyemalis (dark-eyed junco) is the source of this 1558-nucleotide long non-coding RNA. NCBI's taxonomy places the organism in Eukaryota, Metazoa, Chordata, Aves, Passeriformes, Passerellidae. The record is from Ensembl.